This 254-nucleotide ribosomal RNA is filed under the name uncultured bacterium. Its description in RNAcentral is "partial 16S ribosomal RNA". It matches the Rfam family "Bacterial small subunit ribosomal RNA", at positions 524 to 776 of the family's 1533-position model. The record is from RNAcentral.
UACGUAGGGGGCAAGCGUUGUCCGGAAUCAUUGGGCGUAAAGCGCGUGUAGGCGGCCUUGUAAGUCCGUUCUGAAAGCCCGGGGCUCAACCCCGGGAGGCGGAUGGAUACUGCAGGGCUCGAGUCCGGAAGAGGUUGGUGGAACUGCGAGUGUAGAGGUGAAAUUCGUAGAUAUUCGCAAGAACACCAGUGGCGAAGGCGGCCAACUGGUCCGGUACUGACGCUGGAGGUGCGAAAGCGUGGGGAGCAAACAGG